UACGAAGGGGGCUAGCGUUGCUCGGAAUUACUGGGCGUAAAGCGCACGUAGGCGGCUUUCUAAGUCGGGGGUGAAAUCCUGGAGCUCAACUCCAGAACUGCCUUCGAUACUGGAGAGCUCGAGUCCGGGAGAGGUGAGUGGAACUGCGAGUGUAGAGGUGAAAUUCGUAGAUAUUCGCAAGAACACCGGUGGCGAAGGCGGCCCACUGGAUCGGUACUGACGCUGAGGUGCGAAAGCGUGGGGAGCAAGCAGG
This 253-nucleotide ribosomal RNA is filed under the name uncultured bacterium. RNAcentral describes it as "partial 16S ribosomal RNA". It matches the Rfam family "Bacterial small subunit ribosomal RNA", at positions 524 to 776 of the family's 1533-position model. The record is from RNAcentral.